RNAcentral lists this ribosomal RNA (872 nucleotides) under Streptomyces sp. RNAcentral describes it as "bacterial SSU rRNA". It matches the Rfam family "Bacterial small subunit ribosomal RNA", at positions 1 to 887 of the family's 1533-position model. The record is from RNAcentral. Lineage: Bacteria; Bacillati; Actinomycetota; Actinomycetes; Kitasatosporales; Streptomycetaceae.
CCCGUUUUAGUUUGAUCCUGGCUCAGGACGAACGCUGGCGGCGUGCUUAACACAUGCAAGUCGAACGAUGAAGCCGCUUCGGUGGUGGAUUAGUGGCGAACGGGUGAGUAACACGUGGGCAAUCUGCCCUUCACUCUGGGACAAGCCCUGGAAACGGGGUCUAAUACCGGAUAAUACUCCUGCCUGCAUGGGUGGGGGUUGAAAGCUCCGGCGGUGAAGGAUGAGCCCGCGGCCUAUCAGCUUGUUGGUGGGGUAAUGGCCUACCAAGGCGACGACGGGUAGCCGGCCUGAGAGGGCGACCGGCCACACUGGGACUGAGACACGGCCCAGACUCCUACGGGAGGCAGCAGUGGGGAAUAUUGCACAAUGGGCGAAAGCCUGAUGCAGCGACGCCGCGUGAGGGAUGACGGCCUUCGGGUUGUAAACCUCUUUCAGCAGGGAAGAAGCGCAAGUGACGGUACCUGCAGAAGAAGCGCCGGCUAACUACGUGCCAGCAGCCGCGGUAAUACGUAGGGCGCAAGCGUUGUCCGGAAUUAUUGGGCGUAAAGAGCUCGUAGGCGGCUUGUCGCGUCGGAUGUGAAAGCCCGGGGCUUAACCCCGGGUCUGCAUUCGAUACGGGCUAGCUAGAGUGUGGUAGGGGAGAUCGGAAUUCCUGGUGUAGCGGUGAAAUGCGCAGAUAUCAGGAGGAACACCGGUGGCGAAGGCGGAUCUCUGGGCCAUUACUGACGCUGAGGAGCGAAAGCGUGGGGAGCGAACAGGAUUAGAUACCCUGGUAGUCCACGCCGUAAACGUUGGGAACUAGGUGUUGGCGACAUUCCACGUCGUCGGUGCCGCAGCUAACGCAUUAAGUUCCCCGCCUGGAGACCCCACCC